Molecule: unclassified non-coding RNA, 200 nt
Filed under: Clavulina sp.
Lineage: Eukaryota; Fungi; Basidiomycota; Agaricomycetes; Cantharellales; Hydnaceae
Description: partial internal transcribed spacer 2
Source: RNAcentral
UUAAGUUCAGCGGGUAGUCCCACCUGAUUCGAGGUCAAAGCUGAAAAUUGGAAUGCAGACCGAAACAAUCUGCAAAAACCAGGUUUAGAAGCAACCCAAAUGGGGACUGGCCAUCCCCGAAAAGAUGUCCUCAGCGAUCAGACUGUUAUCACGCUGAGUAGAACCAGUUCCACAUGAGGAUCAGCUAAUGUUUUUAAGGC